UCCGCGCCGAUAAUGUAGCGGGGCUUAAGUUAUCCGCCGAAGCUGUGGCAACCUGUGUGGUUGGGUAGGGGAGCGUCGUGUCAGUGGUGAAGCUGCCGGGUGACUGUGUGGUGGAGUUGAUGCGAGUGAGAAUGCAGGCAUGAGUAGCGUGUGACGGGUGGGAAUCCCGUCCGCCGAUUAUCCAAGGGUUCCAGGGUCAAGUUUGUCUGCCCUGGGUGAGUCGGGUCCUAAGGCGAGGCCGACAGGCGUAGUCGAUGGACAUCCGGUUGAUAUUCCGGAACCGGCGAA
RNAcentral lists this ribosomal RNA (288 nucleotides) under Haptolina brevifila. Its description in RNAcentral is "partial Bacterial large subunit ribosomal RNA". It matches the Rfam family "Bacterial large subunit ribosomal RNA", at positions 1158 to 1451 of the family's 2925-position model. Lineage: Eukaryota; Haptophyta; Prymnesiales; Prymnesiaceae. The record is from RNAcentral.